GGGUUGUGAGGUUAAGCGACUAAGCGUACACGGUGGAUGCCCUGGCAGUCAGAGGCGAUGAAGGACGUGCUAAUCUGCGAUAAGCGCCGGUAAGGUGAUAUGAACCGUUAUAACCGGCGAUUUCCGAAUGGGGAAACCCAGUGUGACUCGUCACACUAUCAUUAACUGAAUCCAUAGGUUAAUGAGGCGAACCGGGGGAACUGAAACAUCUAAGUACCCCGAGGAAAAGAAAUCAACCGAGAUUCCCCCAGUAGCGGCGAGCGAACGGGGAGGAGCCCAGAGCCUGAAUCAGCAUGUGUGUUAGUGGAAGCGUCUGGAAAGGCGCGCGAUACAGGGUGACAGCCCCGUACACAAAAGCGCAUAUGCUGUGAGCUCGAUGAGUAGGGCGGGACACGUGGUAUCCUGUCUGAAUAUGGGGGGACCAUCCUCCAAGGCUAAAUACUCCUGACUGACCGAUAGUGAACCAGUACCGUGAGGGAAAGGCGAAAAGAACCCCGGCGAGGGGAGUGAAAAAGAACCUGAAACCGUGUACGUACAAGCAGUGGGAGCCCCACCACUAAGCCAGUGGUGAACUCCACAUACGCAUCCUUUGCUGAGGAUACGGUUAACGGAGCGAAAGCGACGUUCAACCGCAAAAGAAGCAGAGGGGGCUUAGUGGUGGGGUGACUGCGUACCUUUUGUAUAAUGGGUCAGCGACUUAUAUUCUGUAGCAAGGUUAACCGAAUAGGGGAGCCGGAGGGAAACCGAGUCUUAAUUGGGCGUUAAGUUGCAGGGUAUAGACCCGAAACCCGGUGAUCUAGCCAUGGGCAGGUUGAAGGUUGGGUAACACUAACUGGAGGACCGAACCGACUAAUGUUGAAAAAUUAGCGGAUGACCUGUGGCUGGGGGUGAAAGGCCAAUCAAACCGGGAGAUAGCUGGUUCUCCCCGAAAGCUAUUUAGGUAGCGCCUCGUGAAUUCAUCUCCGGGGGUAGAGCACUGUUUCGGCUAGGGGGCCAUCCCGGCUUACCAACCCGAUGCAAACUGCGAAUACCGGAGAAUGUUAUCACGGGAGACACACGGCGGGUGCUAACGUCCGUCGUGAAG
Molecule: ribosomal RNA, 1084 nt
Filed under: Salmonella enterica
Lineage: Bacteria; Pseudomonadati; Pseudomonadota; Gammaproteobacteria; Enterobacterales; Enterobacteriaceae
Description: partial 23S ribosomal RNA
Rfam family: Bacterial large subunit ribosomal RNA
Source: RNAcentral